RNAcentral lists this long non-coding RNA (615 nucleotides) under Monodelphis domestica (gray short-tailed opossum). RNAcentral describes it as "lncRNA (ENSMODG00000041782.1)". Lineage: Eukaryota; Metazoa; Chordata; Mammalia; Didelphimorphia; Didelphidae. The record is from RNAcentral.
AUGGGUGUGCAUUUGUCCCCAAAAGAGAUCCAGAGUGCAAUGGAUCUUGUCACAGUGGGCGAUGAUGGAAAAGUAGAUUUGAACGAAUUUAUGAAUUCAAUGCAAUAUAAUCAGAAUUACGCCCAACUUGAUGGUAAGAAAAUUUUAACUAAGGUGGCUUAAAGAAUUUUCACUGUCCACCCUAUUCAACUUUUCUCCACUAAGAAUUAUAUGUUUUUUAAAAAUCUCCCCCAAAGGAACUUUCAACCUAUAGCUAUUUCCACUAAAGUAGAUGCCAACUUAAAUGCAUUAUUUCUUCUAUGGCAGCACCUAAAGUUUAAAAAUGAAAACAAAAAACAAGCUCUUUGUCAAAUGAGAUGGUCUAGCUGACAUGGCUUAACCCAAACUGAAAUGGAACAUGUCUAUAAGUUUCUUUAACUCAGUAAAAUAACCAUAACCUAGUUAAGAGAUAGUUUCAGAAUUAUACAAUUAAAAGUGAAUAUAGUGAAAGAAAUCUUUAGAACUGUGAACCUCCCCCAUCUUUCAGGCACACUGACCUACCAAAUCAUAAGCUCUCAGAGCUAGAAAGGGGAACCUCAGGGGUGAUCUGGUCCAACAUGAACAUCAUGAAUAAUG